Molecule: ribosomal RNA, 610 nt
Filed under: Aglaophenia rhynchocarpa
Lineage: Eukaryota; Metazoa; Cnidaria; Hydrozoa; Leptothecata; Aglaopheniidae
Description: partial 16S ribosomal RNA
Rfam family: Bacterial large subunit ribosomal RNA
Source: RNAcentral
CAAAAACAUAGCCCUUAAACAAAUUAAAGGUGCAACCUGCCCAAUGGUUUUAAUAAUUUUUAAUAACCAAAAAAACUUAAACCGAAUGGCUGCAGUAACUAUGACUGUAUGAAUGUAGCAUAAUAAUUCGCCACUUAAUUAGUGGAUAGUAUGAAUGGUUAAACGAAAAUUCCUCUGUCUUAUAAAAUAAAAAAAAAAUUUAAAUCAUAGUUAAGAUGCUAUGUUAAACUGUAAGACGAAAAGACCCUAUAAAGCUUAACUACAACCCUUCGAAAAAAAUUUUCAAAAAAGGCAUUCAGAAGGUUUGGUAGUUUCAUUGGGGCGAUGAUCUCUAAAAAAAAACAGAGACACACAAUAUUAAUAAAACAAUUUACUGUUUAAUCAAUUAAUUUAACAGUUACAAUGUAGGUUAUAAAGACCCAUUGUUUUCAUAAAAAAGAAACAAUGAUCAAUAAAUAAAAGCUACUUUAGGGAUAACAGGAUAAUUUUUUUCAAGAGCUCUUAUCGAAAAAAAAGUUUAUCACCUCGAUGUUGAAUUAAGAUAACCUAACGGUGCAGCCGCCGUUGAAGGUAGGUCUGUUCGACCUUUAAAAUCUUACAUGAUUUGAGU